CUCAGGUCCCACUCGCCCUGUGGCCCAUCACCCGCCUGUAGCCAUGGGGAGCCCUCAGGACUUCCGGAGCCUUCAAGCAAAGUUCCAGGCCUCUCAGCUCGAGACCAGCGAACUCCCCAAAAAACCCCUGAAGCCUGAGUUCCACAAACCCCUAAAGAAGCCUCCAACAGCUGAGCUAAGCGAGCACCCCAAAAAGCCCCCGCAGCCCGAGUUCAAUGCAGUGCCCAGGAAGCCUUCGCAGCCCAGUUUCGCUGAUCUGCCCAGGAAGCCCUCCAAACCCGAGUUCAGUGAACCCUCCAAGAAGUUCCCGCAGCUCGGGGCCCCUCAAAAGGCCUUGCCCCCCCCAGAGCCCAAAUCCAGCGCCUUCCCCAAAAAGCUACAGCAGCCUGAGCCCAACGAGGCCACCCCAGACCCCUCACAGCCCAACUUCAGUACCCUCCCCAAGAAGCCCCCGCAGCCUCAGGUCGGUGAGCCCCUUAAGAAGUGCCUGCCGCAGCCUGAGUCCAGGGAGGUCCCUCAGACACCCCCCUGGAAGGUUGAGACUGGUGAGCCCCACCCCCACCCCUCAAAGCCUGACUUCAGUACCCUCCCCAAGAAGCCCCCACAGCCUGAGUUCGGUGGGCACCCCAGAAAGCCCCCGCAGCCUCAGGUCGGUGAGCUCCCUAAGAAAUGCCUGCCGCAGCCUGAGUUCAGUGAGGUCCCUCAGACACCCCCCUGGAAGGCUGAGUCCAGUGAGCCCCACCCCCACCCAUCACAGCCUGACUUCAGUACAUUUCCCAAGAAGAUCCCAGCCCCUCAGCUGAGUGACCUCCCCAAGAAGCUCCUGCACCCUGAUUUUGGAGACCUCACCAGGAGGUCCUCAGAGCCGGAAGUCAGUGUGGUUCCCAAGAGGCCACGGCAGUCCGAAUUCAAAGCACCUUCCAAGAAGCCCCUGCAGCCCGAGCCGGGGGGCCUCCCCAGGGUGGCCUCAGAGCCUGAGUUUGGCCUACUCCCCAGCAAGUUCCUGCAGCCUGAGUGCCAGGGGCCCCCCCGCAAGUUCUCACAGCCCGAGCCCAGUGCUCUGCCCAAGAAGCGCCCGCAUGCCGAGUUCUUUGGUGCUCUUCCCAGAAAGCCCCCUCUCCCUGGCUCUGUUUCGGAGAGCUCGCUCCCCACUGCUGUCGCGGGCCCCGGCCCCAGGCUCCCACUCAGUCUCACUCACAGUGGACGGUCGAGGCUGGGCCUCAAACAGGGCCACCCGCCCCGGCGGAGGCCUCUGCCCCCUGCCAGCAGCCUGGGACCCCCUCCAGCCAAGCCCCCGCUGCCCCCAGGCCCCAGGGACGUUCAGAGCUUCCGGAGAGCCGCGGCUGCAGCCACAGCUCUGAGGAGGGCUCGUUCCGCUGCUGCCAUCCACUUCCAGGAGCAACAGACGAAGGACAUCCCGCAGGACCAGGAUGAGAUCUACGAGCUGUAUGACGACGUGGGGCCCACGGACCACUCCGGCCCCAGCGGCGAGGGCAGAGAUGGGGUGCCAUCUACCCAGCAACCCCCCAGGCCGCCACAAGACCCAGAGCUCAGGAAGGAGAAGGCCCCCCAGCCACAGCAGUUGCCACCUGCAGACCUUAAGUCUCUGAAGCAGAUCCGGAAGGCAGAGAAAGCCGAGAGGGAGUUCCGGAAGAAGUUCAAGUUUGAGGGGGAGAUAGUGAUUCAGACAAGGAUGAUGAUCGAUCCCAACGCCAAGACGCGUCGCGGGGGUGGCAAGUACCUGGGGAUCCGGCGUGGGGAGAUCCUAGAGGUGAUCGAGUUCACCAACAAGGACGAGAUGCUGUGCCGGGACACCAAGGGCAAAUAUGGCUACGUGCCCAGAACCGCUCUACUGCCCCUGGAAACGGAGGUGUAUGACGAUGUUGGCUUCUAGGGUAUGUAGAUGCUCUAGGUGGGCUGGAAGGGAUCACGGUGCCUGGAAGGAGACCCUCUGGAGAGCCAUCCAUUCCCCAGGGGACAGUAAGGCCCACAGGUGUGGGUACCCAGGACAACCUGCCCGCCCAGCCACCUGCUAAACCAGGAGCCUUGGAUCCCAGCUUGGCAGUCACAGAACCAUCCAGGCUGGUGCCUGACUGCAUACAUGAACCACAUAAAGCUCCUAUUUAAAGCGA
This is an RNA transcript of Herpailurus yagouaroundi (jaguarundi), 2132 nucleotides long. It is a transcript of the gene named PML-RARA regulated adaptor molecule 1, with no coding region annotated. The transcript is spliced from 10 exons. NCBI's taxonomy places the organism in Eukaryota, Metazoa, Chordata, Mammalia, Carnivora, Felidae. The record is from RefSeq and is a predicted model, not a curated record.